RNAcentral lists this transfer RNA (88 nucleotides) under Pseudomonadota bacterium. Its description in RNAcentral is "tRNA-Leu". It matches the Rfam family "tRNA". From Rfam's summary of the family: Transfer RNA (tRNA) molecules are approximately 80 nucleotides in length. RNAcentral also lists the same sequence under 2 other names. Lineage: Bacteria; Pseudomonadati; Pseudomonadota. The record is from RNAcentral.
GCCGGGAUGGCGGAACUGGUAGACGCGGCGGACUCAAAAUCCGUUGCCCUUAUAAGGCGUGUGGGUUCGAUUCCCUCUCCCGGCACCA